This is a non-coding RNA of Phascolarctos cinereus (koala), 380 nucleotides long. The record is from RefSeq and is a predicted model, not a curated record. NCBI's taxonomy places the organism in Eukaryota, Metazoa, Chordata, Mammalia, Diprotodontia, Phascolarctidae.
UAGUUUUAAAGACACAAACUGCUCCUGUUCUGGCUCAGCAGCAGUGGAGAGAGGCUGCUCCACAGCUGGGAGGACUACUCAGGCUGGCUUCUACAAGUAGAUCCUUUCUGUUUCUUGCAUGGGGACCACCAUGUUUGCUGACCUGGGAACUGCAAAGUCCUGUUACACUUAUAGCUACUAGAAGGGCAAUUGGGGUUAAGUGACUUGCCCAGGAUCACACAGCUAUUCCACCAGAGGGAGCUCUGCAUGGCUUUGAGGAGAUACGACUUUAAAGCAGCGAAGAUGUUUUUAACCAACAUACUGCGAUAGGAAGGAGGAAGGAAGGAUGGAAACACAUUUAUCAAGCACUUACUAUAUUCCAGUCACUGUACUAAGUGCUU